GGUGCCGGAGUGGUUAACGGGAUGGACUUGAAAUCCAUUGGCCUCUGGCCGCGCAGGUUCGAAUCCUGCCCA
Molecule: transfer RNA, 72 nt
Filed under: Skeletonema dohrnii
Lineage: Eukaryota; Bacillariophyta; Thalassiosirophyceae; Thalassiosirales; Thalassiosiraceae
Rfam family: tRNA
About the family: Transfer RNA (tRNA) molecules are approximately 80 nucleotides in length. Their secondary structure includes four short double-helical elements and three loops (D, anti-codon, and T loops).
Source: RNAcentral